Molecule: ribosomal RNA, 269 nt
Filed under: uncultured bacterium
Lineage: Bacteria
Description: partial 16S ribosomal RNA
Rfam family: Bacterial small subunit ribosomal RNA
Source: RNAcentral
GAGCACGUAGGUGGGUUUGUAAGUCAGAUGUGAAAGCCUUCUGUUCAACGGGAGAAUUGCAUCUGAAACUACAAACCUUGAGUAUAGGAGGGGAGAAUGGAACUUCUGGUGGAGCGGUGAAAUGCGUAGAUAUCAGAAGGAACGCCGACGGCGAAAGCGAUUCUCUGGCCUAUUACUGACACUCAGUGUGCGAAAGCUAGGGGAGCAAACGGGAUUAGAUACCCCGGUAGUCCUAGCCGUAAACGAUGGGCACUAAGUAGAGGGGUUUU